UCCUGUAAUUGACAACCCUUGAUAUGUUUGGUAUUUCAAGGAUUUUGAUGUUGGUAAAAUCUACAAAAAGAAGAUAGUUUUGAUAAAUGCAUCCUACAGCAUUAACUACUGCAAACCAGUGGGAAUCAGUGAAUGGCUGAAGGACUUCAUCAGCAUUCAGUUUGACCCUCCUGGUAAAAUGUCUGCUGGAAUGUCCUGUGAAGUGGGGGUAACCUUUAAGCCUGUGAUAAAUGAAAAUCUGGAAGGAGAAGUCAUGUUUAUGGCGCAAACAGGAUCCUUCACAGUUCCACUGAAAUGUACAGCUAAGACAUGCACUGUAAGUGACUGUUUAAAGUCAGAGUAACAGCAGAAAAUGCAGGACAGCAUAAACGUU
This 373-nucleotide long non-coding RNA is filed under the name Chrysolophus pictus (golden pheasant). RNAcentral's name for it is "lncRNA (ENSCPIG00010005217.1)". Lineage: Eukaryota; Metazoa; Chordata; Aves; Galliformes; Phasianidae. The record is from RNAcentral.